AGCAGCCGCGGUAAUUCCAGCUCCAAUAGCGUAUAUUAAAGUUGUUGCAGUUAAAAAGCUCGUAGUUGAAUUUCGGGAUUGACACAUCGGUCGUGCCUUAAGGGGUAUGAACUGGUGUAGUCAACUUCUCACCUUCUGGAGAACCGCGAUGCCCUUAAUUGGGUGUCGCGGGGAACCAGGACCUUUACUUUGAAAAAAUUAGAGUGUUUAAAGCAGGCAUUUUGCUUGAAUACAUUAGCAUGGAAUAAUAAAAUAGGACGGCAUGAUUCUAUUUUGUUGGUUUCUAGGAUCACCGUAAUGAUUAAUAGGGAUAGUUGGGGGCAUUAGUAUUCAAUUGUCAGAGGUGAAAUUCUUGGAUUUAUUGAAGACUAACUACUGCGAAAGCAUUUGCCAAGGAUGUUUUCAUUAAUCAAGAACGAAAGUUAGGGGAUCGAAGGCGAUCAGAUACCGUCGUAGUCUUAACCAUAAACUAUGCCGACUAGGAAUCAGACGAUGUUAAUUUUUUAAUGACUCGUUUGGC
RNAcentral lists this unclassified non-coding RNA (520 nucleotides) under uncultured Entrophospora. RNAcentral describes it as "SSU rRNA". It matches the Rfam family "Eukaryotic small subunit ribosomal RNA", at positions 569 to 1084 of the family's 1831-position model. The record is from RNAcentral. Lineage: Eukaryota; Fungi; Glomeromycota; Glomeromycetes; Entrophosporales; Entrophosporaceae.